AGCCAUGCAUGUCUAAGUACAAACUUUUACACGGUGAAACCGCGAAUGGCUCAUUAAAUCAGUUAUGGUUUAUUAGAUGGUGCUAUCCUACUUGGAUAACUGUGGUAAUUCUAGAGCUAAUACAUGCGACAAAGCUCCGACCCUCGUUGGAAAGAGCGCUUUUAUUAGAUCAAGACCAACCGGUACCGCCUUCGGGUGUGCCGUCGGAUUGAUGACUCUGGAUAACCUUUGCCGAUCGUAUGGCCCCGAGCCGACGACGCAUCUUUCAAAUGUCUGCCCUAUCAACUUUCGUUGGUAGGUGAUUUGCCUACCAAGGUGUUUACGGGUAACGGGGGAUCAGGGUUCGGUCCCGGAGAGGGAGCAUGAGAAACGGCUACCACAUCCAAGGAAGGCAGCAGGCGCGCAAAUUACCCACUCUUAGCACGAGGAGGUAGUGACGAAAAAUAACAAUACGGGACUCUUUCGAGGCCCCGUAAUUGGAAUGAGUACACUCUAAACCCGUUAACGAGGAUCUAUUGGAGGGCAAGUCUGGUGCCAGCAGCCGCGGUAAUUCCAGCUCCAAUAGCGUAUAUUAAAGCUGUUGCAGUUAAAAAGCUCGUAGUCGGAUUUCGGGCGGCGGCCAAUGGUUCGGUUCCGUGCCGAUACUGCUGGUCGCGGCCUCCACGCCGGUCGUCCUUCGGUGCUCUUAACUGAGUGCCUUAGGUAGCCGGAGCGUUUACUUUGAAAAAAUUAGAGUGUUCAAGGCAGGCCUCGAGCCUGAAUGAUGGUGCAUGGAAUAAUGGAAUAGGACCUCGGUUCUAUUUUGUUGGUCUUCGGAACUGGAGGUAAUGAUUAAUAGGGACGGACGGGGGCAUUCGUAUUGCGGCGUUAGAGGUGAAAUUCUUGGAUCGUCGCAAGACGGACUACUGCGAAAGCAUUUGCCAAGAAUGUUUUCAUUGAUCAAGAGCGAAAGUCAGAGGAUCGAAGACGAUCAGAUCCCGUCCUAGUUCUGACCAUAAACGAUGCCAACUAGCGAUCCGGCUCCGUUGCUUUAUAAGACUGGCCGGGCAGCUCCCGGGAAACCAAAGUCUAUGGGUUCCGGGGGAAGUAUGGUUGCAAAGCUGAAACUUAAAGGAAUUGACGGAAGGGCACCACCAGGAGUGGAGCCUGCGGCUUAAUUUGACUCAACACGGGAAAACUCACCCGGCCCGGACACCGUAAGGAUUGACAGAUUGAAAGCUCUUUCUUGAUUCGGUGGGUGGUGGUGCAUGGCCGUUCUUAGUUGGUGGAGCGAUUUGUCUGGUUAAUUCCGAUAACGAACGAGACUCUAGCC
Molecule: ribosomal RNA, 1312 nt
Filed under: Tetrastemma sp. UR NEP-2021
Lineage: Eukaryota; Metazoa; Nemertea; Enopla; Monostilifera; Tetrastemmatidae
Description: SSU rRNA
Rfam family: Eukaryotic small subunit ribosomal RNA
Source: RNAcentral